GGGGAUAUUGGGGCGUAAAGAGCUUGUAGGUGGCUUGUCGCGUCUGCCGUGAAAACCCGAGGCUCAACCUCGGGCGUGCGGUGGGUACGGGCAGGCUAGAGUGUGGUAGGGGAGACUGGAACUCCUGGUGUAGCGGUGAAAUGCGCAGAUAUCAGGAAGAACACCGAUGGCGAAGGCAGGUCUCUGGGCCAUUACUGACACUGAGAAGCGAAAGCAUGGGUAGCGAACAGGAUUAGAUACCCUGGUAGUCCAUGCCGUAAACGUUGGGCACUAGGUGUGGGGGACAUUCCACGUUUUCCGCGCCGUAGCUAACGCAUUAAGUGCCCCGCCUGGGGAGUACGGCCGCAAGGCUAAAACUCAAAGGAAUUGACGGGGGCCCGCACAAGCGGCGGAGCAUGCUGAUUAAUUCGAUGCAACGCGAAGAACCUUACCAAGGCUUGACAUGCACUGGACGGCUGCAGAGAUGUGGCUUUCUUUGGACUGGUGCACAGGUGGUGCAUGGUUGUCGUCAGCUCGUGUCGUGAGAUGUUGGGUUAAGUCCCGCAACGAGCGCAACCCUCGUUCUAUGUUGCCAGCACGUGAUGGUGGGGACUCAUAGGAGACUGCCGGGGUCAACUCGGAGGAAGGUGGGGACGACGUCAAAUCAUCAUGCCCCUUAUGUCUUGGGCUUCAAGCAUGCUACAAUGGUCGGUAUAAUGGGUUGCGAAACUGUGAGGUGGAGCGAAUCCCAAAAAGCCGGCCUCAGUUCGGAUUGGGGUCUGCAACUCGACCCCAUGAAGUCGGAGUCGCUAGUAAUCGCAGAUCAGCAACGCUGCGGUGAAUACGUUCCCGGGCC
RNAcentral lists this ribosomal RNA (835 nucleotides) under uncultured bacterium. Its description in RNAcentral is "bacterial SSU rRNA". It matches the Rfam family "Bacterial small subunit ribosomal RNA", at positions 546 to 1380 of the family's 1533-position model. The record is from RNAcentral.